AACUUUCAGCAACGGAUCUCUUGGCUCUCGCAUCGAUGAAGAACGCACCGAAAUGCGAUAAGUAAUGUGAAUUGCAGAAUUCAUUGAAUCAUCGAAUCUUUGAACGCACCUUGC
RNAcentral lists this ribosomal RNA (114 nucleotides) under Asterostroma muscicola. RNAcentral's name for it is "5.8S ribosomal RNA". It matches the Rfam family "5.8S ribosomal RNA", at positions 1 to 114 of the family's 154-position model. From Rfam's summary of the family: 5.8S ribosomal RNA (5.8S rRNA) is a component of the large subunit of the eukaryotic ribosome. It is transcribed by RNA polymerase I as part of the 45S precursor that also contains 18S and 28S rRNA. Lineage: Eukaryota; Fungi; Basidiomycota; Agaricomycetes; Russulales; Lachnocladiaceae. The record is from RNAcentral.